This 490-nucleotide ribosomal RNA is filed under the name uncultured bacterium. Its description in RNAcentral is "partial 16S ribosomal RNA". It matches the Rfam family "Bacterial small subunit ribosomal RNA", at positions 28 to 507 of the family's 1533-position model. The record is from RNAcentral.
GAUGAACGCUAGCGAUAGGCUUAACACAUGCAAGUCGAGGGGCAGCAUGGUCUUAGCUUGCUAAGACUGAUGGCGACCGGCGCACGGGUGCGUAACGCGUAUGCAACUUGCCUCACAGAGGGGGCUAACCCGACGAAAGACUGACUAAUACCGCGUACACUUAGGAUAGGGCAUCCUGACCCAAGGAAAUGAAGUUCGCUGUGAGAUAGGCAUGCGUUCCAUUAGCUCGUUGGUGAGGUAACGGCACACCAAGGCGACGAUGUGUAGCGGAACUGAGAGGUUGCACCACCAGACCGGUACCGAGGCACGGACCAGACCGGGACGGGACGGAGGAGUGAGGAACACUGGGGAAUGGGCGAUAGCCGGAAACAGCCAAGUCGCGUGAAGGAGGACUGGCUUAGGGAUUGUAAGCUUCUUUGAAACGGCAAAAACAAGAGUAACGGGGGGCUUCCUGAAGGUACCGGAUGAAUAAGCAUCGGCUAACUACGUG